GGGUUGUGAGGUUAAGCGACUAAGCGUACACGGUGGAUGCCCAGGCAGUCAGAGGCGAUGAAGGACGUGCUAAUCUGCGUAAAGCGACGGUAAGGUGAUAUGAACCGCUACAGCCGUCGAUGUCCGAAUGGGGAAACCCGGUGCACUCUGUGCAUCAUUGCAGCAUGAAUACAUAGUGCUGCAAGGCGAACCGGGGGAACUGAAACAUCUAAGUACCCCGAGGAAAAGAAAUCAACCGAGAUUCCCCCAGUAGCGGCGAGCGAACGGGGAGCAGCCCAGAGCCUGAAUCAGCAUGUGUGUUAGUGGAAGCGUCUGGAAAGUCGCAGGGUACAGGGUGAUACUCCCGUACACAAAAGCACACGUNNNNNNNNNNNNNNNNNNNNNNNNNNNNNNNNNNNNNNNNNNNNNNNNNNNNNNNNNNNNNNNNNNNNNNNNNNNNNNNNNNNNNNNNNNNNNNAUGUGCUGUGAGCUCGAUGAGUAAGGCGGGACACGUGGUAUCCUGUCUGAAUAUGGGGGGACCAUCCUCCAAGGCUAAAUACUCCUGACUGACCGAUAGUGAACCAGUACCGUGAGGGAAAGGCGAAAAGAACCCCGGCGAGGGGAGUGAAACAGAACCUGAAACCGUGUACGUACAAGCAGUGGGAGCCUUGAUUUAUCAGGGUGACUGCGUACCUUUUGUAUAAUGGGUCAGCGACUUAUAUUCUGUAGCAAGGUUAACCGUAUAGGGGAGCCGCAGGGAAACCGAGUCUUAACUGGGCGUUAAGUUGCAGGGUAUAGACCCGAAACCCGGUGAUCUAGCCAUGGGCAGGUUGAAGGUUGGGUAACACUAACUGGAGGACCGAACCGACUAAUGUUGAAAAAUUAGCGGAUGACCUGUGGCUGGGGGUGAAAGGCCAAUCAAACCGGGAGAUAGCUGGUUCUCCCCGAAAGCUAUUUAGGUAGCGCCUCGUGAACUCAUCUUCGGGGGUAGAGCACUGUUUCGGCUAGGGGGCCAUCCCGGCUUACCAACCCGAUGCAAACUGCGAAUACCGGAGAAUGUUAUCACGGGAGACACACGGCGGGUGCUAACGUCCGUCGUGAAGAGGGAAACAACCCAGACCGCCAGCUAAGGUCCCAAAGUCAUGGUUAAGUGGGAAACGAUGUGGGAAGGCACAGACAGCCAGGAUGUUGGCUUAGAAGCAGCCAUCAUUUAAAGAAAGCGUAAUAGCUCACUGGUCGAGUCGGCCUGCGCGGAAGAUGUAACGGGGCUAAACCAUGCACCGAAGCUGCGGCAGCGACACUAUGUGUUGUUGGGUAGGGGAGCGUUCUGUAAGCCGUCGAAGGUGGCCUGUGAGGGCUGCUGGAGGUAUCAGAAGUGCGAAUGCUGACAUAAGUAACGAUAAAGCGGGUGAAAAGCCCGCUCGCCGGAAGACCAAGGGUUCCUGUUCAACGUUAAUCGGAGCAGGGUGAGUCGACCCCUAAGGCGAGGCCGAAAGGCGUAGUCGAUGGGAAACAGGUUAAUAUUCCUGUACUCGGUGUUACUGCGAAGGGGGGACGGAGAAGGCUAUAUCAGCCGGGCGACGGUUGUCCCGGUUUAAGCGUGUAGGCGGAGGGUCCAGGUAAAUCCGGUCCCUUAUCAACGCUGAGGCGUGACGACGAGGCACUACGGUGCUGAAGUGAUAAAUGCCCAGCUUCCAGGAAAAGCCUCUAAGCAUCAGGUAACACAGAAUCGUACCCCAAACCGACACAGGUGGUCAGGUAGAGAAUACCAAGGCGCUUGAGAGAACUCGGGUGAAGGAACUAGGCAAAAUGGUGCCGUAACUUCGGGAGAAGGCACGCUGGCGCGUAGGUGGAGGGACUUGCUCCCCGAGCCGAAGCCAGUCGAAGAUACCAGCUGGCUGCAACUGUUUAUUAAAAACACAGCACUGUGCAAACACGAAAGUGGACGUAUACGGUGUGACGCCUGCCCGGUGCCGGAAGGUUAAUUGAUGGGGUUAUCCGUAAGGAGAAGCUCUUGAUCGAAGCCCCGGUAAACGGCGGCCGUAACUAUAACGGUCCUAAGGUAGCGAAAUUCCUUGUCGGGUAAGUUCCGACCUGCACGAAUGGCGUAAUGAUGGCCAGGCUGUCUCCACCCGAGACUCAGUGAAAUUGAACUCGCUGUGAAGAUGCAGUGUACCCGCGGCAAGACGGAAAGACCCCGUGAACCUUUACUACAGCUUGACACUGAACAUUGAGCCUUGAUGUGUAGGAUAGGUGGGAGGCUUUGAAGCGCGGACGCCAGUUCGCGUGGAGCCAACCUUGAAAUACCACCCUUUAAUGUUUGAUGUUCUAACGUAGGCCCGUUAUCCGGGCUGCGGACAGUGUCUGGUGGGUAGUUUGACUGGGGCGGUCUCCUCCUAAAGAGUAACGGAGGAGCACGAAGGUCAGCUAAUCACGGUCGGACAUCGUGAGGUUAGUGCAAUGGCAUAAGCUGGCUUGACUGCGAGAGUGACGGCUCGAGCAGGUGCGAAAGCAGGUCAUAGUGAUCCGGUGGUUCUGAAUGGAAGGGCCAUCGCUCAACGGAUAAAAGGUACUCCGGGGAUAACAGGCUGAUACCGCCCAAGAGUUCAUAUCGACGGCGGUGUUUGGCACCUCGAUGUCGGCUCAUCACAUCCUGGGGCUGAAGUAGGUCCCAAGGGUACGGCUGUUCGCCGUUUAAAGUGGUACGCGAGCUGGGUUUAGAACGUCGUGAGACAGUUCGGUCCCUAUCUGCCGUGGGCGCUGGAGAAUUGAGGGGGGUUGCUCCUAGUACGAGAGGACCGGAGUGAACGCACCACUGGUGUUCGGGUUGUCAUGCCAAUGGCAUUGCCCGGUAGCUAAGUGCGGAAAAGAUAAGUGCUGAAAGCAUCUAAGCACGAAACUUGCCCCGAGAUGAGUUCUCCCUGACUCCUUGAGAGUCCUGAAGGGACGUUGAAGACUACGACGUUGAUAGGCCGGGUGUGUAAGCGCAGCGAUGCGUUGAGCUAACCGGUACUAAUGACCCGUGAGGCUUAACCUUACAACGCCAGAGGCGUUU
This 3034-nucleotide ribosomal RNA is filed under the name Pantoea allii. RNAcentral describes it as "23S ribosomal RNA". It matches the Rfam family "Bacterial large subunit ribosomal RNA". Lineage: Bacteria; Pseudomonadati; Pseudomonadota; Gammaproteobacteria; Enterobacterales; Erwiniaceae. The record is from RNAcentral.